This is a long non-coding RNA of Cavia porcellus (domestic guinea pig), 2278 nucleotides long. RefSeq lists it as uncharacterized. The record is from RefSeq and is a predicted model, not a curated record. The transcript has 3 exons. NCBI's taxonomy places the organism in Eukaryota, Metazoa, Chordata, Mammalia, Rodentia, Caviidae.
GUCUUCUGGCCGCGAGUUCCAUCACGCGCGUUUCGAGGUGGGAUUGCUAAUGUGAAAAAUGGAGACGCGUGUGUCUCAGAAAGUACUUGUGAGUGUAUCAUGAGACAGUAAAUGUGUGAAAUGCAGAGGCUGGCCACGCAGCAGAUGUCAGCGCCUAAUACGUAGAACAUUCCCUGAACCUCUGCCCUGUACCCGUCAUGGUUCUCCCCAAAGCCUGAAGUCCCCACAAGUGACCAGCUAUGCACCAGAAACCAGGAAAUCUGAGAAUGCGGAAGAAAAGGAGACAAAUGAUGUGGAUGCACAGAGAAUGCAGAGGUGACAAAGGACCCAUCCUGUAGGGAAGCUGACAUGGCCCUGGGCAGCCAUCCCCCAGCUUUCUGGAGAGCAAGGCUGUCCUGCAGUGUGGACAGGCCCCAGCGGUUCCUGGCUCUGCCAGACCCCUGCCCACCUGGCUCACCUGAAGCACCAGCGCUCGUCAGCACUUCCAUCUGGCCGAGUGCCCACUGUCAGCAGAACACCUGACCGCUGCUUCUUCCUCCUGCACCACCAGUAACCAUUUUCCAUCUCCAAGACACAGAUGGCUUUCUAGGGACAAAGGAUACAUCAGACAACAGUCCAGGACCUUGUCUGAAGGAAGAGGAACACAGGGCAAGGGAACAAGAAAAUACCCCACAGUCCUUUAGACUAUAAUCCAAAGUUCACUAAGCAUGUGGAUUCAAGCAGCCCCAGCCUCCGAUCAUCUGUAUGGUGUGAGGCCUUGAAACUCUGAAUUUCAGAUUCCUUAUCUGUAUACCUAGAAUAUUGCAGCCCAAAUCAUUGUUAGAAAUCAGCAAGCACCAAGUGCUGGACGGCAGCUUGGUCUUACAUCUUUUCAGGUGACACAAUUGCACACCAUCCCGUAGAGAAUGUCAUAGGCUCUACUCUGCACAUACGCUGCUGCUGCUGCUGCUGCUGCUGCUGCAUGCAAACAAGUCAGGGAGCAUGCUGCUUGCAGAGUAGGGGGGCUGGACUCAGAGAACAUGAAGACCUUGUUGAAGGCUCCAAGGAAUUGGCCACAGCGGCCAGGCUCCCAGAUGAUGUUUUCCCUGCUCCAGCUGCCCAGUAGCCACCUGAUCGUUAUUUAGGCAAGAUGAAGUGAUUCCUUCCACUGUAGGUGGGUGUCAGAUCAGUGUCCCAGGUACCCCAGGCUGGGCCAUGCCUAGGAUUUUACACCCUGACUUCCUGCCCACCUUGGAGAACCCUUUUCAUGUAUAAAGAGAACAGAAUUGGUGCUCCAUGAGGGCAGGGAAGGGCUUUCUCUUAACACCUAAAACUGCGCAUGAGAACCAGCCACAAAAUACACUUAACAAAUACGUGAUGCCAGGUGCACUGGCAUGUACUCUGGAGGCUGAGACGAGGAUCACAAGUUCAAAUCCAGACUUUGCGUCUUAGUGACUCCCUGUCUCAAAAUGAAAAAUAAAAAGCUAAGAUGCCCUCCCUGUAUUCAAUCCCCCAUACUACCCCCCACCGAAAAGAAGAAAGAAGUAUUUGAUAUUAAUAAUGCCAGUGAUAAAAGUAACUAACAGUGCACACCUAUUAUAUGGUAGUUACUGUGCUGGGCACAUUACAUCCUUGAGCACAUCCAUUUUUCACAGCCACCCUAUGAAAGAAGGAAUGAAUACAGGAGUGUGGGGACUGGUCCUGCUGAGCUGAGCCAGCCUGACUGAGUGCCCAGCCCUGGGCUCUCGGGUGACUGCUGACUCCCACAGACAGCCCAGGAUGCCUCCAGAGAUCCAGCAGGCAGAGUGGGGUAGAGGAGGGGAGGAAAACCCUGCUGUGGCACCUGCAGCUUCCAGAUGCUCCAGCUGUCAGUGGCAACGCUGUUGACCGUCUCACUCAUGAGGGCGAUGAGCAUGUUGAGCAGCAGGACGUAGGUGAGCAUCACAUAGGCCAGCAGCAGCAGCAGCACCACCCCACGGAAGCGCAGCUUCUCCUGAAAGGCCAGCUCGCCCAUGCCGAUGGUGAACUUGAAGAGCUCCAACGAGGCAUCCAGGAUGCUGUUAUACGGGGCCUCCUCCUCCUCCUCCUGUUCCAUCCCCGGCUGGGAGGCCUGUGUGCCAUUGAGGCCUGCAGGGCCCCUGAGUCCCCGGGCCUCCCUGCUCAGGCUCACCAGGGCUGUGGGAAGGAGGGAGGGCUUCCUCAGCCAGGGGCUCUGGCAGGCAGCCUUGAGGCAGGUGUACAUAGUGGGGAGGGGAUAAGCAGGACCAGAGUGGGCCUUUACCUAUAGCAAAGCCAAAAA